CACCACAGCCAUAUCACCCUGCAGCCCAAGACUUGUUACUCACUGAAGAUAAGCAGGGCUGAGCCUGGUCAGUAUCUGGAUGGGAGACCACAAGGUGACACUAGGUUUCUGUUAAAA
This 117-nucleotide ribosomal RNA is filed under the name Danio rerio (zebrafish). The record is from RNAcentral. Lineage: Eukaryota; Metazoa; Chordata; Actinopteri; Cypriniformes; Danionidae.